RNAcentral lists this ribosomal RNA (1373 nucleotides) under uncultured bacterium. RNAcentral describes it as "bacterial SSU rRNA". It matches the Rfam family "Bacterial small subunit ribosomal RNA", at positions 29 to 1393 of the family's 1533-position model. The record is from RNAcentral.
UUGAACGCUGGCGGUAUGCUUAACACAUGCAAGUCGAACGGAAACGAUACUAGCUUGCUAGUAGGCGUCGAGUGGCGGACGGGUGAGUAACGCGUAGGAAUCUGCCUGAUAGUGGGGGAUAGCCCGAAGAAAUUCGGAUUAAUACCGCAUAAUCUAUUCGUAGUAAAGUGGGGGACUUUCGAGCCUCACGCUAUCAGAUGAGCCUGCGUAAGAUUAGCUUGUUGGUAGGGUAAAAGCCUACCAAGGCGACGAUCUUUAGCUGGUCUGAGAGGAUGAUCAGCCACAUCGGGACUGAGACACGGCCCGAACUCCUACGGGAGGCAGCAGUGGGGAAUAUUGGACAAUGGGGGCAACCCUGAUCCAGCAAUACCGCGUGUGUGAAGAAGGCCUGAGGGUUGUAAAGCACUUUCAAUUGUGAAGAAAAGUUAGCGGUUAAUAACCGUUAGCCUUGACGUUAACUUUAGAAGAAGCACCGGCUAACUCCGUGCCAGCAGCCGCGGUAAUACGGAGGGUGCAAGCGUUAAUCGGAAUUACUGGGCGUAAAGCGUGCGUAGGUGGUUUAUUAAGUCAGAUGUGAAAGCCCCGGGCUUAACCUGGGAACUGCAUUUGAAACUGGUCAACUAGAGUAUGGUAGAGGAAAGUGGAAUUUCUGGUGUAGCGGUGAAAUGCGUAGAUAUCAGAAGGAACAUCAAUGGCGAAGGCAGCUUUCUGGACCAAUACUGACACUGAGGUACGAAAGCGUGGGUAGCAAACAGGAUUAGAUACCCUGGUAGUCCACGCCGUAAACGAUGAUAACUAGCCGUUGGGGGGAUUUACCCUUUAGUGGCGAAGCUAACGCGUUAAGUUAUCCGCCUGGGGAGUACGGCCGCAAGGUUAAAACUCAAAGGAAUUGACGGGGACCCGCACAAGCGGUGGAGCAUGUGGUUUAAUUCGAUGCAACGCGAAGAACCUUACCUGGUCUUGACAUCCUGCGAACUUUCUAGAAAUAGAUUGGUGCCUUCGGGAACGCAGUGACAGGUGCUGCAUGGCUGUCGUCAGCUCGUGUCGUGAGAUGUUGGGUUAAGUCCCGUAACGAGCGCAACCCCUAUCCUUAUUUGCCAGCACAUCAUGGUGGGAACUAUAAGGAGACUGCCGGUGAUAAACCGGAGGAAGGCGGGGACGACGUCAAGUCAUCAUGGCCCUUACGACCAGGGCUACACACGUGCUACAAUGGGAAGGACAAAGAGCCGCGAAGCCGCGAGGUGUAGCUAAUCUCAUAAACCUUUUCGUAGUCCGGAUUGGAGUCUGCAACUCGACUCCAUGAAGUCGGAAUCGCUAGUAAUCGUAGAUCAGAAUGCUACGGUGAAUACGUUCCCGGGUCUUGUACACACCGC